This 427-nucleotide ribosomal RNA is filed under the name uncultured bacterium. RNAcentral describes it as "bacterial SSU rRNA". It matches the Rfam family "Bacterial small subunit ribosomal RNA", at positions 355 to 774 of the family's 1533-position model. The record is from RNAcentral.
UGGGGAAUUUUGGACAAUGGGCGCAAGCCUGAUCCAGCAAUGCCGCGUGCAGGAUGAAGGCCUUCGGGUUGUAAACUGCUUUUGUACGGAGCGAAAAGGUCUGCCCUAAUACGGUGGGCUCAUGACGGUACCGUAAGAAUAAGCACCGGCUAACUACGUGCCAGCAGCCGCGGUAAUACGUAGGGUGCGAGCGUUAAUCGGAAUUACUGGGCGUAAAGCGUGCGCAGGCGGUUAUAUAAGACAGAUGUGAAAUCCCCGGGCUCAACCUGGGACCUGCAUUAGUGACUGUAUAGCUAGAGUACGGUAGAGGGGGAUGGAAUUCCGCGUGUAGCAGUGAAAUGCGUAGAUAUGCGGAGGAACACCGAUGGCGAAGGCAAUCCCCUGGACCUGUACUGACGCUCAUGCACGAAAGCGUGGGGAUCAAACA